UUUUUCUUUUUUUCUUUUUUUUUGAGAUAGUGUGUCCGGAUUCUGUUCCUUCUGGUGGGUUCGUGGUCUCGCUGACUUCAAGAAUAAAGCUGUGGACCUUCGUGGUGAGUGUUACAGCUCUCAAAAGUGACACGGACCCAAAGAGUGCGUAGCAGCAAGAUUGUUAACAGCAAAAGCACAAAGCCUCCAUAGCGUGGAAGGAGACCCGGAUUGCUGCAGCUGGCUGGGGUAGCCAACUUUUAUUUCCUUAUUCGUCCCUGCCCACGUCCUGCUGAUUGGUCCAUUUAACAGAGUACUGAUUAUUCAAUUUUACAAACCUGUAGCUAGCCACAGAGCACUGAUUGGUGUGUUUUUACAGAGCACUGGUUGGCACGUUUUACAAACCUCUAGCUAGCCACAGAGUGCUAAUUGGUGCAUUUUACAAUCCUCACUACAGAAUGCUGAUUGGUGCAUUUUACAAUCCUCUUGUAAAACAGAAAAGUUCUCCAAGUCCUCACCCAAUCCAGAAGUCCAGCUGGCUUCACCUCUCAAUAGGGUCUUGCUCUGUCACUCAGGCUGGAGUGGAGUGGCCCUGUCUUGGCUCACUGCAGCCUCGACCUCCUGGGCUCAAGCAAUCCUCCCACCUCAGCCUCCAGAAUAGCUGGGACUACAGCCAUGCACCACCAUGCCUGGCUAAUUUUUUUUUUUUUUUUUAAUUUCCUGUAGAGACAAGGUCUCCCUGUGUUACCCAGGCUGGUCUUGAACUCUUGGCCUCAAGCAAUCCUCUAUCCUGUGUCUCCCAAAGUGCUGGAAUUACAGGAGUGAGCCCCCUAUACCCAGCCCCACCUAACUCUUUUUCUUUUUUUUUUUUUGAGACAGAGUCUCACUGUGUCACCCAGGCUGGAGUACAGUGGCGAAAUCUCAACUCACUGCAACCUCCGCCUGCUGGGUUCAAACAAUUCUCCUCCCUCAACCUCAUAAGUAGCUGGGAUCGCAGGCACUCCCACCAUGCCCAGCUAAAUUUUUUUGUAUUUUUAGUGGAGAUGGGGUUUCACCAUGUUGGCCAGUCUGGUUUUGAACUCCUGACCUCAGCUGAUCUGCCCGCCUCAGGCUCCCAAAGUGCUGAGAUUCCAAGCAUCAGCCACCGCGUCCAGCCCCCACCUAACUCUUAAUGGACUGCAACACACACCCUAGAAGAGAUGUGUGAACAAUUCUAAAAACAGACAAUCCUUAGUAUCCACUUCAACUCCUCAGAAUAUCAGCAGCACCCUAGGCAUGACUGAUUCCCAGCGGCAGGGUUGCUGCUGUGUCCCCGAACCUAAAUGUAUUUAUUAGCACUUAAGGAACUAAAAAAUGAAUGUCAGAGAAUGCAGCUGCUGAUGUUGAAGUAGGCAGUUGUUUGUUUCCUAACUCUUAAAUUUCACUAAUAUACUGUAACCAAGAUGGAAACAGACUACAUCUUUCUGGUUAUAGAGGCUUCUCUUCCUCUAUCACUAACAUGGACCUACAGGCUUCGCAGCAGAAAUCUACUUUCUGGGACUUUUAAGAGACAGAGAACACAGAUAGACCUUGCCCCUUUGUUGGACAGAUUCAAAUGUUUUGCUUGUUUUUGUUGUUUAUUUUUUUAAAAAUUUUUUGGUAAGAGACAGGGUUUCACUCUGUCAGCCAAGCUGGAGGUCAGUGGUGCAAUCUCAGCUCAUUGCAGCUUCAACCUCCUGGGCUCAAGCGAAUGUCUCACUUCAGCCUCCUGAUUAGCUGGGACCACAGGCACACACCACCACUCCUGGCUAAGUUUUGUAUUUUUUUGUAUAGACAGGGUUUCAACAUGUUGCCC
RNAcentral lists this long non-coding RNA (1813 nucleotides) under Macaca fascicularis (crab-eating macaque). RNAcentral's name for it is "lncRNA (ENSMFAG00000048433.1)". The record is from RNAcentral. Lineage: Eukaryota; Metazoa; Chordata; Mammalia; Primates; Cercopithecidae.